GACGAACGCUGGCGGCGUGCCUAAAACAUGCAAGUCGAACGAGGGUAGUAAUACCUUAGUGGCGAACGGCGGAGUAAUACAUAAGCAACGUGCCCCGAAGACUGGGAUAUACAGCCGAAAGGCUGGGCAAUACCGGAUGUGACGGAAGGAUGGCAUCAUCUUUCCAUUUAAACAGUUUUUUGCUUCGGGAGCGGCUUAUGGCCUAUCAGGUAGUUGGUGAGGUAAUGGCUCACCAAGCCGACGACGGGUAGCGGGUCUGAGAGGAUGGUCCGCUCGAGUGGGACUGAGACACGGCCCACACACCUACGGGUGGCAGCAGUUGGGAAUCUUGCACAAGUGGGGAAACCCUGAUGCAGCGACGCCGCGUGGA
Molecule: ribosomal RNA, 370 nt
Filed under: uncultured bacterium
Lineage: Bacteria
Description: bacterial SSU rRNA
Rfam family: Bacterial small subunit ribosomal RNA
Source: RNAcentral